Molecule: long non-coding RNA, 1214 nt
Filed under: Oreochromis niloticus (Nile tilapia)
Lineage: Eukaryota; Metazoa; Chordata; Actinopteri; Cichliformes; Cichlidae
Description: lncRNA (ENSONIG00000033476.1)
Source: RNAcentral
AAUAAAUCAACAUUGUCAAGUAAUUGUUUUGUGUUAUGCUGGCAGAGAGAGGCCUGCUCAAGUGUGACUAGAGUCUCUAAACUUUGUCAGAUACUUGAAGUGGAAUUUUAAAACUAAAACAAUGUAGAAUAUGAGAAUAGACGCUUGCAAAUUGGCUCACAAUAGUCUCCACAGUGUGUGUGUGUGUGUGUGUGUGUGUGUGUGUGUGUGUGUGUGCGUGUGUGUGUGUGUGUGUGUACCCAUCAGUGGGUGGGGUGAGGUAUAUAAACCACAUUUCUGCGCUCUGUUCUGCUUCACUCUGAAGCUAAACUUCAGCGUCACAUCACUGAAUCACUAAACAAGCUGAGCAGGAAGUCGUCCUGAAGCCAGUUCUUUCCUGAAAAGGAAUGAAGGAUCUUUCACAGCAGUUUCACACCGAAAGUCAGCAAGCGAUGAAUUUUUCUGGUUUUAUCAUAUGGACUAACUUCAUGUUCUGCCUUCCUUUGACCUUACUGGUCAUCUGUUGGUUGUGUUGCUUGGUGAAAAAGGAGCAUGUGAUCUAUUUCACUAACCUCCUCAUUGCCAAUCUCGCCCACAUCAGCAUAAUGUUCUCCUGGCAGUUGAACAAAGAACCUGUAAUUGACCAAGAUGACAGUAUUUGCAUAGCUGGUUUGAUGGCUAGUUGGUAUUUCAAGACAUACAUUGCUAUUGAAAGGUGUUUUGUCAUCACCUGCCCAAAGUUGAAGUGCAGCAAACAAACUCAGGGAUCCAUGCUGGUUUCUCUCUUGAUUUGGAUCUUUUGUAUUGUAACUGUAGUUCCUAUAGUAGUCUUCAAGAAGUUUUUUAUCCUCUAUAUUUUUGCCCUCCUUCCAGCUCUCCUGUUCAUCCUGUUUUUAGUAUGGACCUUCCACGCCUUGGCUGCUGACACCUUAGUGCCCACUGAGGAAAAACAAAGAAUUGUACGAAUUUUCCUUUUGUUCUUCUUUAAUUAUUUUCUGAUGAUCCUUCCUGGUGUCAUCUGUUCUAUUGGAGUAUUUUUGGCUCAACCUUGCUUUCAAGUUAUCAUUGAUAAACUUUUGACUUUGUUGCUUCUCGGCCCUUUUCUGGAUUUGAUUCUGGUUUGUUUCAUGCAUAUAAGAUGCAGAUUCGACAGCACUGCACCAGAUGUAGCUGAACAUCGGCCGCCAGGCUGGGUGAUGUCGCAAAUACUAAGGGACAGAGAAAAUAGGGUGUAA